This is a non-coding RNA of Amborella trichopoda, 47 nucleotides long. The record is from Rfam. Lineage: Eukaryota; Viridiplantae; Streptophyta; Magnoliopsida; Amborellales; Amborellaceae.
AGAAAGGAUCUUUUAAGAUCCAUCAUCCUUUCUCUCUCUAGAUUUGU